Small nucleolar RNA from Myotis lucifugus (little brown bat), 108 nucleotides. Ensembl annotates it as small nucleolar RNA SNORA77. NCBI's taxonomy places the organism in Eukaryota, Metazoa, Chordata, Mammalia, Chiroptera, Vespertilionidae. The record is from Ensembl.
ACAGACUUUAAAAACAAAUGCUUUGUUUUCAGUUUGCCACAGAAACAUUCCUGGGACUGUGACUACCUUGACCUAUGCAGGGUGACGCAGCUGCCCGGGGACAUGGUG